AAGCCUAUAAAGUGAACAAGAAAGUCAGUGCUUGCUGUCCUUAGUGGAAAUCUUGCCUUGCUUCUCUGCGAGGUAUGACUGCAGUUUAUCUACAAAGGGGAAUACAAAUAGUAAUGAAAAGAAAGACUGAGUGAAGAAGUUCUUUGUUGCAAAGCAGCUUUGGCCUGGCAGCCUCGGAAGGACCUUGUGGUCUAGAGCUCUGCUUGAAGAAGUCAGCUGGAACACACAACAGUGAUCUGGUGGCUGGUUUCCUCACCUGCUUUGAGCACAGAUACCUGAACAUCUGGUGGGAGGAGACUACAGUUUGCUGAUGUACUUGGGCCCUGAAACUGAGAACUGUGAGAGGGACAAGAGGAACUGGUAGCAGCCUGCUGCACUGAAGGCCUGUGAAUCUUGCCUAUCUAGAAAGUUGUGGCUGAUAACAAAGUUUUUUCAAUAUGAAGUUAUUGAAGACAACAUGGAAGAUUUAUGUCUUUGAAACAGCAUCAGGAUCAGAGCUGAAGUGAUGAUGAGCUAGAAACAGGCAGUAAUGAGCUGAAAAGAAGGAGCAUGAAGGUGAAAUGAAGUACACCUGUGGGCUCCAAGUUUGCAGCUGCCUGACAGAGUCAUCCAAAUAUGCCACCCUGUCUCUAUCAGCCUGGAAACAGAAGCAGUGUGUUCAUGCUGGGCUUUUCAGCAGUGCCGCAUACAUCUUCUAUGACUCAGCCAAAGAUGAAGUUCAUGUAUAAGGAGAACAUCUCAGGUCUAGUUGGUUUUCUUGGUUGGUUUGUUGUUGUUGUUUUUCCGUAAGUAGGUAGCACCAAAAUGCUUCUCUUAAGUGUUCUUAAGUGUUGCAUAGGUUUCAGCUAUGUGUAUUGCAGAUGUGUAUUGUCUGGAAGAAGACUGGCAAGAUUAUAACUUAGAGGUGUCAAGCAGUACCACCAUUACACCUCCAUUCAGUUUUUGUUAAUUCUGCUACACUGGCUGUCAGACUUAAACCAUUUCUUACACGGACAGCAGUAAGACAGAAUGGGAAUAAGGAUUACAGGGACUGAAGACUUGGAACAACUUUUUUCUGCAUUUAAGAGGUUCUAGACAUGAAAACUGUUUUUCAGAUGUGAACGACUGAAGUAUAUAACCUAAAAAUAAAUGACAU
Non-coding RNA from Meleagris gallopavo (turkey), 1135 nucleotides. The record is from RefSeq and is a predicted model, not a curated record. NCBI's taxonomy places the organism in Eukaryota, Metazoa, Chordata, Aves, Galliformes, Phasianidae.